Molecule: ribosomal RNA, 495 nt
Filed under: uncultured bacterium
Lineage: Bacteria
Description: partial 16S ribosomal RNA
Rfam family: Bacterial small subunit ribosomal RNA
Source: RNAcentral
GACGAACGCUGGCGGCGUGCCUAAUACAUGCAAGUCGAACGCUGAAGGAGGAGCUUGCUUCUCUGGAUGAGUUGCGAACGGGUGGGUAACGCGUAGGUAACCUGCCUGGUAGCGGGGGAGAACUUUUGGAAAGGAAACCUAAUACCGCAUAGGAUUAGAUGUUCCAUUACAUUUACUUAAAAGUUGCAAUUGCAUCACUACCAGAUGGCCCUGCGUUGUAUUAGCUAUUUGGUGGGGUAAGGGCUCACCAAGGAAACGAUACAUAUCCGACCUGAGAGGGGGGUCGGCCACACUGGGACUGAGACACGGCCCAGACUCCUACGGGAGGCCGCAGUAGGGAAUUUUCGGCAAUGGACGGAAGUCUGAACGAGCAACGCCGCGUGAGUGAAGAAGGUUUUCGGAUCGUAAAGGUCUGUUGUAAGAGAAGAACGAGUGUGAGAGUGGAAAGUUCACACUGUGACGGUAUCUUAACAGAAAGGGACGGCUAACUACGUG